Molecule: ribosomal RNA, 277 nt
Filed under: uncultured bacterium
Lineage: Bacteria
Description: partial 16S ribosomal RNA
Rfam family: Bacterial small subunit ribosomal RNA
Source: RNAcentral
GACAAACGCUGGCGGCGUGCCUAACACAUGCAAGUCGAACGCUCUUGCGCAAGCGAGAGAGUGGCGGACGGGUGGGUAACACGUGGGUAUCUACCUUGAGGUGGGGAAUACCAUUGAGAAAUCAGUGACAAUUCCUCAUAGGUUCGGAGACGAGCAAAGCCUCGCGUAUGCGAGACGCCUCAAGAUGAGCCUGCGCCUGAUUAGUCCGUUGGUGGGGUAAUGGCUCACCAAGACGACGAUCAGUAGCUGGUCUGAGAGGAUGAUCAGCCACACUGGG